RNAcentral lists this non-coding RNA (86 nucleotides) under Yersinia massiliensis. Its description in RNAcentral is "nuoG RNA". It matches the Rfam family "nuoG RNA". Lineage: Bacteria; Pseudomonadati; Pseudomonadota; Gammaproteobacteria; Enterobacterales; Yersiniaceae. The record is from RNAcentral.
GAAUUUUUGAUUAACGCUUGUGAACGUACCGUUUCAGGGUCAUCGAGACAGACUUUGAAUCGGUUCUAACGCAAGCCACUUGGAAG